CAACUAUAUGCUAACAGACAAAAAGUGACUCAAACCAUCAAAAUGUCUGGUCCGUAGUUCUGGAUUCAUAGUCUAAUAAAAUGUGUAACACAAAA
This is a long non-coding RNA of Etheostoma cragini (Arkansas darter), 95 nucleotides long. RefSeq lists it as uncharacterized. NCBI's taxonomy places the organism in Eukaryota, Metazoa, Chordata, Actinopteri, Perciformes, Percidae. The transcript is spliced from 3 exons. The record is from RefSeq and is a predicted model, not a curated record.